RNAcentral lists this long non-coding RNA (552 nucleotides) under Cyanistes caeruleus (blue tit). RNAcentral describes it as "lncRNA (ENSCCEG00000002776.1)". The record is from RNAcentral. Lineage: Eukaryota; Metazoa; Chordata; Aves; Passeriformes; Paridae.
CUGUUAGAUAGGCAUUUGAAAGCUUAUUUGUUAUAAACCAAUAUGCUAGUAAGUAUUCCAGAGUGGCAGAGAAGAAGACCCAAACAACUGACGCCUUUGUUGAAUAUAAGUCUAAGAUGCUACAUGUCUUAAUGAUUUUCUUUUUCCACAGAAAAUUAUCAUCUUGCCUCUUGGCUUUCAGCAGGUCUUGCUCCCUCUUCUGCCCUGGAUAUUUACACCACUGCCCAGCUGGAAGAAUAUCCCACUUCUCAUUGCAAUGUACAUAUACAAAUCAUUGUCCCGAACACCAAUUCAAGUGUACUUGGCCACUCUUUAAGGAACAGAUUGCCUGGGACUGUAAGAAGUCCACAUGGCAGCUUUCCAAUUGUAUUUAUCCACUUCAACUAAUUGAGUCACAUAAAUGUAAGUAAUUUGAAACAUUAUUGUGAGAGAUUUCUGUUUGCCUCUUUAAUUAAGCAGUUGUUCACAGGUGCAUACAGUUACAACAAAAUUAAUUGAUAGCUUUAUAUUGCAGUUCUUGAGUCUGCUGCUGUUUGGUGUUUGGAAACUGUG